AUGAACGCUGGCGGCGUGCCUAAUACAUGCAAGUCGAGCGAACAGACGAGGAGCUUGCUCCUCUGACGUUAGCGGCGGCCGGGUGAGUAACACGUGGAUAACCUACCUAUAAGACUGGGAUAACUUCGGGAAACCGGAGCUAAUACCGGAUAAUAUAUUGAACCGCAUGGUUCAAUAGUGAAAGACGGUUUUGCUGUCACUUAUAGAUGUAUCCGCGCCGCAUUAGCUAGUUGGUAAGGUAACGGCUUACCAAGGCAACGAUGCGUAGCCGACCUGAGAGGGUGAUCGGCCACACUGGAACUGAGACACGGUCCAGACUCCUACGGGAGGCAGCAGUAGGGAAUCUUCCGCAAAGGGCGAAAGCUUGACGGAGCAACGCCGCGUGAGUGAUGAAGGUCUUCGGAUCGUAAAACUCUGUUAUUAGGGAAGAACAAAUGUGUAAGUAACUAUGCACGUCUUGACGGUACCUAAUCAGAAAGCCACGGCUAACUACGUG
This 496-nucleotide ribosomal RNA is filed under the name uncultured bacterium. RNAcentral describes it as "partial 16S ribosomal RNA". It matches the Rfam family "Bacterial small subunit ribosomal RNA", at positions 29 to 507 of the family's 1533-position model. The record is from RNAcentral.